RNAcentral lists this long non-coding RNA (1382 nucleotides) under Zea mays. RNAcentral describes it as "long non-coding RNA (ZMAY_LNC001987)". The record is from RNAcentral. Lineage: Eukaryota; Viridiplantae; Streptophyta; Magnoliopsida; Poales; Poaceae.
AGGAUAAGGAAAAGGUGAGAAGGAUGGCUGCUAUUUCGGUGACCUGGGAACAUAGUCCUCAAGAUUCAGCCAUUUACGUCUCAAUGACAAUGCUCCUCUGGGCACCUGAAUCUGAUACUUUUAGUUUCUGAAAGUUACAAGGGAAGGGAAUUGUGCAUGUCCAAGGAACUGUACGAUUACUUAUAUUCAAGUAAUCUAUGGAAUGUGAAGAACUGAAGAACCAUGCCAUGGCUUAAAUUGUAGUGAGUGUGAAGUAUCUACUAUUAUAUUCAGUUCCAUUUAUUUAUUGAAAAACCUCAGUUCCAUCAGUAAGGGUGCCAAAAGGAGGGUAAAAGGAAAACGCUGAUUGUUUUGGAUUUGCCAAGGUGCACCUCAGCUGUGUACAGCCGAUAGAGAGGUUGAAGCAACUGGAAUGGGUUCAGUAAGUUAUCUUUGUUACUAUGCUUGAAUCUAGCUGAUGUUAACCUGUUCAAGUGCUUCAAAAUGAUUGGAACUUUGAGAAUACCUAGUAUAAUUUAUAUCAUGUGUCUUUCCUACUCAAUGUAUAUCAGAAACGUGGAUUGCUUUUUGACAAACAACUCAUUCUUAUCUGUCAUCUGUGACCCCUUGGUUUGCUUUGGAAUGAUUAUCCCACAGAAUUAUUCAUGUUGUCUUUUCGCAGUAUGAGGAGGUCAGCCGGUCGUUGCAAGUUAGGAUGUGGCUAAUCGGUUGCAAAGACGAUAAAGCACAAGUCUAGUACAGACACACCUACUGACACCCUGAGGUACCUGGGGCUUUUGACGAAGCAUGCACAUUGGCAAGGUAAUAAGGCUUCUAUACCAUCCAAGCAAUGGCUUUUAUCAGUUAUUGCUUCCCUUCCCAGUGGGCACUAUCUGCAUAGCGACAAAGGUGUUCGUUAAGUAAUCGUUGAUGAUGGGGCACUUUCGUCCUGGCACCUAAAAGGUGAUUUGGUCAAGGAAUUAAAAUCGGUUUUUCACUCUAGAGUCUAGACCCGCACAUUAUCUAAUGAAUAGUGCAGAUUCCUGCAAUUACUUAUCAAAAUAACAUUGCAAAAAGUUUACUGUUCCAAAGCGAUCCAAUUUACUGAAUGCAAGGGUUGUAAAUUUUGAUUCUGUCGAUCUUGCAAAAAUGAGGUUAUUGUACUUACCGUUUUUUGUCAACCAAAAAUGGCAUUUUCCCAUUCGGCGCCAUUGUAUUCAUAAUUAUUUUUUAUUCCUUUUUUCUUUUGCACUACUUAAUUUUGUUUUUUGUUUUCUCUUUCCUUUCCAUCUCCGUUAUUAUGUGACAAACAGUUUUUGACUUUUUGUGCCCAAUUCUGUUUCGCUGCAGUCAAUCGAGCAAUAACGGUCACUAGGACACAGGUCCUGUUUGGAACGGCUGAA